This 2574-nucleotide long non-coding RNA is filed under the name Sus scrofa (pig). RNAcentral describes it as "lncRNA (ENSSSCG00040018291.1)". Lineage: Eukaryota; Metazoa; Chordata; Mammalia; Artiodactyla; Suidae. The record is from RNAcentral.
AGGGCUGCACCUGCAGCAUACGGAGGUUCCCAGGCUAGAAGUCGAAUCAGAGCUGCAGCUGCCAGCCUAUGCCACAGCCCCAGCUACACCAGAUUCAAGUCAUAUCUGUGAUCUACACUCCAGCUCACAGCAGUGCCAGAUCCUUAAUCCACUGAGAGGCCAGGGAUCGAACCCGCAUCCUCAUGGAUACGCGUUGGGUUCAUGACAGCUCAUCCCCACCACCUGGAGCAGGUGCUGCCAGCCCUGGUCACCGUGGGAAAGCAGGCAUCAGGGAAGCUAAGCUGGGGGUCCUGGUGCUGGAAAGCUCCCCAGGAACCCUGUCCCUGGUUCUGCUUCCCUUUUCGAGUUGAGUACCGAGAGCACAGAGCUAAAUUUAUGGCCCAUCUUUAGCAAGCGCAGAAUCCUUCAUUUCGUGCAUUUGGUUACGAACCUCCAUCUAAAAUGCACGCUCUUAUUUUCCCUUUGUCUCAUUUCCCCUCACUUGUUUUAAUUUACUUUAAGCUGCCUUAAAUCCAUUUCGAAACAAGGUGAGGAAUAAAUAAAUACACCCUAUCUGUAUUUAAACAGCUUCCCAUUGUAUAUGUAUAUAUUCUUGCGUAUCUCUUUUUCUAAAAAUUACUGCCUGCUGAUGCCUGCAAAUGGCUGUGUUUGCGUGUGCUAAUUGUGUAACUGACUGGAUUUUAAAUGGAGAGCUCUGAUGAGUACCUAGGAAGCCAGGAAAGAGGGUGUUUUCGCUUUCAGUAUAAAAGGCAGGGUUGGGCCCAGGUGUCUGCCCAAGAAAGAGGCAGUGGUUCUCAACUGGAGUGGAUUUUGCCUCAGGGGCAUUUGGCGAUAUCGGGCCUAUGUCUUUGGUUGUCACCCCUGGAAGUGCAGGGGAGGCAUCUGGCCUUGUUAUGGGCAUCUAGUGGGUAGAGGCCAGGGAUGCUGUUAAACAUCCUACAAACAGCCCCCUCGCCAAGAAUGAUCUGGUCCCAAAUGUCCCCGGUACCAAGUCUGAGAAGCCCUGACUUAAGGGUAGCAGAAGUGACGAAGGGCAGAAGCUUGUAACCCCACCAAGGUGGGGCUGGGGGUGGGGGGCUAGAAACCCUGGGGGCAGCUCCUGAACCCCACCAGGAAGAGAGAGCAGCUGAGGGCCUGUAGGCUGAAUUCCCAGGAGAGCCCCUGGCUCCAGUGGGGUCACAGGAGAAGCGAGAUCAACUUGGGAAGGAAAGGCCAUCUCCAGUCCCGGAGGGGCCGCGUUCCAGUGGUUGGAAUGGGAGCCUUUCCUACAUUCCACUUGCCCUGCUGCCUUUCUCCCCUGGGAUCUCUGCCCCACUGGGACUUCCUGCGGGUUGGCCCGGGGGAGCCCCAGCAGGGGGUCAGAGAGCAGGGACAGCCCUGGGAAGGGGUGUUGACUCCCAGCCCCUCUCUGCAGGGCUACCUCAAUCUGGCUAAUUCCUCAACCUAAGUCCCAGCCCCUCUCUAGGCGCCACAGCAACACCGGAUCCGAGCCACGUCUGCAAACUUCACCAUAGCUUGUGGCAGCGCCAGAUCCUUAACCCACUGAGCGAGGCCAGGGAUCAAACCUGCAUCCUCAAGGAUACUAGUUAGGUCCUUACUGCUGAGCCACAAUGGGAACUCCCCUGCCACACCCUUUUAAGUAGUCCCUUUCUUAAAACUUCCCCAGACUCUCCUGAUUUGAAUGUCAUCUGCGUCCUUCAAGGAUCUUAGCUGUCGCUCUGUCACUUAUUCAUUAGUUGAAUGUUCAGUGACCACCUACUAUGUGCUCAGGCAGAGUUCUAGGUGCCUGGGCUACACAGGUAAAUAGAGGCCCAGGCCACUGUCUUGUGAGAGCCUCACUCCUGGUGUGUCUGGCUUAGCUUCAUGCCUGCAGCCUGUGUGGCCUGAAUGAGGCAGCUUUCUGAGGCUACGCCCUCCAGCUAAGAGACAAGGGCUAUCGCCCUGACCACCACAGCUCUGACACCAGGCAGCUCUGUACACCUGAGCGAGUCACUCAGCCUCCCUGGCUUUCAUUUUCCUUGUUCGUAAGGUGAGGGCUAGGACUAGAUAACCAUCUAACAGGUUAUCUGAACUGGAAUUAAAAUUUCCUGGCUGGGGUGGCUGCCCAGAUUCUGAGUUGGGAGCAGCAGAGGCAGGCAUCUCGGGCAGCUGUGUACAUCCCAGGUCUUCCAGAGGGGUCCCUGGUAAGGAUGGGAGAGGGCUGGCAUCUCCAUGUCCUGCUGUUGGCUGUCCUGGAUACCUUCUGUGGUGUGGAGGUGGGGUGACCUCCUCUGGGUCCUCCAAAGCUCCUGACUCCCUGUCGCUCUCCCCUGCCAACCACACCUCUCUCAGGGCCAUGUAUGUUCCCCUAGGUCCUAGGCCAAGAAGCCACAGACCCCAGCACACUCAGGGCAGCCUUGCUGGUACCAGCUGAUAGGCUGGGCAGCUUCCUAGGCAAACCUGCACAAAGCUUUCUGGACGCUAUCGCCUGGAAGGUACCAGAGGCCAAGGAGGCCCCAUGCCUCAGGGCAAUAUUGCAUCUGCCAGCCCAGACUUACAGGGGGACCAUCAGAGGGCCCAUCUCAUGCUCUGGGG